AAAUUGAAGAGUUUGAUCAUGGCUCAGAUUGAACGCUGGCGGCAGGCCUAACACAUGCAAGUCGAACGGUAACAGGAAGAAGCUUGCUUCUUUGCUGACGAGUGGCGGACGGGUGAGUAAUGUCUGGGAAACUGCCUGAUGGAGGGGGAUAACUACUGGAAACGGUAGCUAAUACCGCAUAACGUCGCAAGACCAAAGAGGGGGACCUUCGGGCCUCUUGCCAUCGGAUGUGCCC
This 235-nucleotide ribosomal RNA is filed under the name Escherichia coli. RNAcentral's name for it is "partial 16S ribosomal RNA". It matches the Rfam family "Bacterial small subunit ribosomal RNA", at positions 1 to 232 of the family's 1533-position model. Lineage: Bacteria; Pseudomonadati; Pseudomonadota; Gammaproteobacteria; Enterobacterales; Enterobacteriaceae. The record is from RNAcentral.